RNAcentral lists this long non-coding RNA (219 nucleotides) under Lathyrus oleraceus (garden pea). RNAcentral describes it as "Pisum sativum (pea) long non-coding RNA (PSAT_LNC025389)". Lineage: Eukaryota; Viridiplantae; Streptophyta; Magnoliopsida; Fabales; Fabaceae. The record is from RNAcentral.
AAAUGUUUGUUUUUCCAAUUGUUUUCACUUUUUGCUUUUUGCAUGAAAUUGGUGAUCACAAAAAACCCUAAACAAGAACAAAAGCAAUCUUUUCAUCUGCAUAAUGAUUGCCUUGUUUGAUUUCUAAAAAGCUUUUCAUAUCCAAAAUCAUUAUGCAGGUUGAUUUAUAAACCCAUUGAACAUAAUGAUCCAACGCCAUCUCCCAAUUUUGAAUUCCCU